CGGCGGACGGGUGAGUAAUGCCUAGGAAUCUGCCUGGUAGUGGGGGAUAACGUCCGGAAACGGGCGCUAAUACCGCAUACGUCCUGAGGGAGAAAGCGGGGGAUCUUCGGACCUCACGCUAUCAGAUGAGCCUAGGUCGGAUUAGCUAGUUGGUGGGGUAAAGGCCUACCAAGGCGACGAUCCGUAACUGGUCUGAGAGGAUGAUCAGUCACACUGGAACUGAGACACGGUCCAG
Molecule: ribosomal RNA, 235 nt
Filed under: uncultured bacterium
Lineage: Bacteria
Description: partial 16S ribosomal RNA
Rfam family: Bacterial small subunit ribosomal RNA
Source: RNAcentral